Non-coding RNA from Schistosoma rodhaini, 45 nucleotides. The record is from Rfam. Lineage: Eukaryota; Metazoa; Platyhelminthes; Trematoda; Strigeidida; Schistosomatidae.
AUCCAGCUGACGAGUCCCAAAUAGGACGAAACGCGCGUCCUGAAU